GUACUGCUGAGGAUUCCCAAAUUAGGACGAAACAGCUGUCCAGUAC
Molecule: non-coding RNA, 46 nt
Filed under: Trichobilharzia regenti
Lineage: Eukaryota; Metazoa; Platyhelminthes; Trematoda; Strigeidida; Schistosomatidae
Source: RNAcentral